Molecule: long non-coding RNA, 499 nt
Filed under: Dromaius novaehollandiae (emu)
Lineage: Eukaryota; Metazoa; Chordata; Aves; Casuariiformes; Dromaiidae
Description: lncRNA (ENSDNVG00000012930.1)
Source: RNAcentral
UGAACAGCUUGCAGUGUGACAAGAUCUUGUUGAUGGUGAAAUAUAAGAAGUGAAUGCAAAAUUCCAAAUGUGAUUGCAUUACAGUCCUGUGGUGAGGGACUAUUAAAUCUCUGCUCUGUGGUGUGAUAAAACUACUACUUCCUGCCUGCGCCACUCAGACACUAUUUUUGGGGACUGAUCCAUGAGUUGUGAUACUGGCUCCUGCACAGACCAUGAACAAGAUGGAGCACAGCAAUGCUCCUGCGCAUUAACCUCCCACCAAAUCCAGCAAGAGGAGGGUUCACAGCCUCUCUCAGGGCUGCAUCUGACAAGAAGAGUGAAAAAAAUACUUGAUGAGAAAGGCAGGCGUUCUCUCAGGAACAAUCCCUGCUUAGAUGAGUUCCUGGAUGCUUCCACCCAUAUGAGAGAGGAGAAAGCUACAGAUACCGUAUCAGGAUGGCCAAGCUUUCUUCAGCUAAGCAAAUUAAUCUGUAGAGAAACAAAGCAAAAUGCAAGUUAA